UACGUAGGGGGCAAGCGUUUGUCCGGAUUUAUUGGGCGUAAAGCGCGUGUAGGCGGCCUGGAAGGUCCGUUGUGAAAACUCGAGGCUCAACCUCGAGACGCCGAUGGAAACCAUGUGGCUAGAGUCCGGAAGAGGAGAGUGGAAUUCCUGGUGUAGCGGUGAAAUGCGCAGAUAAUCAGGAAGAACACCCGUGGCUAAGGCGGCUCUCUAGUACGGUACUGACGCUGAGACGCGAAAGCGUGGGGAGCGAACAGG
This 255-nucleotide ribosomal RNA is filed under the name uncultured bacterium. RNAcentral's name for it is "partial 16S ribosomal RNA". It matches the Rfam family "Bacterial small subunit ribosomal RNA", at positions 524 to 776 of the family's 1533-position model. The record is from RNAcentral.